GAGGUUAUAGCUCAGUGGUAGAGCACGUGCUUAGCAUGCAUGAGGUCCUAGCUUCA
Molecule: transfer RNA, 56 nt
Filed under: Camelus bactrianus (Bactrian camel)
Lineage: Eukaryota; Metazoa; Chordata; Mammalia; Artiodactyla; Camelidae
Also listed under: 2 other names
Rfam family: tRNA
About the family: Transfer RNA (tRNA) molecules are approximately 80 nucleotides in length. Their secondary structure includes four short double-helical elements and three loops (D, anti-codon, and T loops).
Source: Rfam by way of RNAcentral